RNAcentral lists this long non-coding RNA (2031 nucleotides) under Homo sapiens (human). RNAcentral's name for it is "non-protein coding lnc-ZNF669-2:3". Lineage: Eukaryota; Metazoa; Chordata; Mammalia; Primates; Hominidae. The record is from RNAcentral.
CAUUCAGGAUGUCAUCUUGAAAGCAGAGACCAAGGUCUUCACCAGAGACAGUCUGCCAAUGGCUUGAUUUUGCACUUCCCAGCCUAUAUAACUAUGUACUGGUUCAUGAAGAUGUGCUUAUGGGUUUCUACUCUAAUGAGGUUUAUAUAACUUUCCAAGACAAGGAAGUUGUGCAAAGCCUCACAGCUACUAAGAGGCUGGGCUGGGACUCAGGAUUAACUUCGUGACUCCAAAGCCCAUGCACCUCUGCAAGCCACACGAAUCAAGCAGCUUCUCUAAACCUUUGAAGUCCUGGAAAGUAACUCUUCUGCAAUAGAAGCAAGAAUCCUGUGAGAUUGGGAUCCAUCUAGUACUCUUCACCAUUUGGAACAACUGCCUCCAGAGAAUGCUUCUGACGCAUCUUGGAAGAACUUGGAAUAACCUGAGGAAAUGGUCGAUUUGCUAAUUUAGGAAACCAAUGUUCGAUACGUGUGUGAUCCCAAUAAAGCUAUUAACAAAAAACGGCUCACGUAGGCCGGGCGCAGUGGCUCACGCCUGUAAUCCCAGCACUUUGGGAGGCCGAGGCGGGCAGAUCACAAGGUCAGGAGAUCGAGACCAUCCUGGCUAACACGGUGAAACCCCAUCUCUACUAAAAAUACAAAAAGUAGCCGGGCGUGGUGGUGGAUGCCUGCGGUCCCAGCUACUCAGGAGGCUGAGGCAGGAGAAUGGCAUGAACCCGGGAGGCGGAGAUUGCAGUGAGCCGAGAUCGCGCCACUGUACUCCAGCCUGCGUGACAGAGCGAGACUCCGUCUCAGAAAAAAAAAAAAAGAACAUAAUAUGUGUAUUGUGUCUCAUGUACACUGUUGAAGAGGUAGCAGCCCAUGAUUGAUGAAAUAGUCCAGUGAUCUUAUGAGAUACAAGUUUGUUUUCAUGUUCUCUCUCUGACAUUGUCUAUGCUUAGUUAUUGUGUUCAUGCUUAUUCCUUCAUGGUCCAAGUUGGCUGUCCCACCUCCAGGCAUCAAACCACAUUCCAAACAGCAACCAGGAGGAAAUAGUAAGCUGAUAGGUCAUGGGGAAUUAGGUUGGAAGCCAUUGCUUUUUAAUUUACAGAAGUCCAUUCUCCCCAGGCACUUCUUUCUAAGUCUCAUUGAUCAGAACUCAACCACGUGGCCACCAUCAGCAGAAACAUCUCUCUGUAGCACCGUGAAACACAUGAGAACAUAACUGGGGAUGACCGUUGUUACUUGAACUAUUUUGAAAGAUCUGACAUAAAGGUCAUCGCCUUGUGCACUUCAAUGGGUGUUACUGCAAAACUCCCAGGGCUAGGCAUGGCGACAUACACCCGAAAUCUCAGCUAUCUGGGAGGCUGAGGUGGGAGGAUUGCUUGAGCCCACGAGUUUGAGGCUGAAGUGUGCCUGUGAAUAGCUACUGCACUCCAGUGCCUAGGACACAUAGGGAGACCUCACUUUUUUAUGGCUGCAUAGUAUUCCAUGGUAAAGAAAUGUACCACAUUUUCUUUAUCCACUUCACUGUUGAUGGGCAUUUAUCCACUUCACUGUUGGUGGGAAUUUAGGUUGAAUCCAUGUCUUUGCUAUUGAAGUCACACUUUUUAAUCAAGUUAUUUAACUUUCCUGUGUUCAUUUGUGUUAUAUACCAGAACAUUUUUAUUUCUAUGGUUUUAAUGCCACCUAAUAUGAUUAUCAAUGUGUCAUUCUCCAUAAAUCAUUGUGUUAUACAUGUUAAACGAUUAGGUAUUAAGUGUAUAGGUAUAAAUCACUUAGAAUAAUGACUAACACAUUGUAUGAACUAAAUAAGUACUGAUUCAUCUGAUUCAUCAAAUUUCCAUUAUUCAUACCAUUCAUUAUUUAUUAAGUGGUGUAGUAUUUGUUCUUAUCAACAUUUGCUUUUCUGUCCUAUCUAAAUAUUAAUGAAACAGUGGAUGUGGGCUCAGUGUGCUGUCUUGAAAUAAUCCAAAGUCAAAUGGCAUGCUUCACUGGUUUCCUUUAGAUGCAAUAACUCAUUUGACUCACACAAUAAAAAUGAGUAUUAAGU